UAGUUUAAUAUGUUUAUUAUGCACCCCAUACCCAUCCUGUGGGCGGUAGUCAAAAGAUUACAGAGGUACAUAAUUGGUCCAGGGACUGGACUCCAAAGUUUUGAUAGCUGAGCAAGUUACAGAGGCAAUGAACUCACAAUUUACAAAGGUAAUGAACUCACAAUUUACAAAGGUAAUGAACUCCAGGUAAGUCUGGUCACAAUCAUGACAAGUUACAAAGGUAUUUACAGAUUACAGAGGUACGUAAUGGGUCCAGGGACUGGGCCCCCAAAGUUUUGAUAGCUGAACUAGGUACAAAGGUAAUGAGCUCACAAGUUACAAAGGUAAUGAAUUCUGUAGAAUGGUUACUUACGUUUAUACUUUGGCUACAAUCAUGAACAAAUUAUAGAGUAAUGAGCAAUUCACACUUCCACACCCGGUCACAACUGUAAUGAGUUAUUGGUGCAAAUAUUGAUUGUUGAGUCACACACACCACACACACACACACACAGAGAAAGAGAACAGAGUGAUUUCUUGUAUAUCUAACAUACAUAUAAUCUGAUCCCUAGUAUAUCUCCUUUCAUUGUAACUACUUUUCACAUAAUUGAUUUACUUGCCUGUUUUAACUUUAAGGUUUAAACAAUAAUUAUUACAAGGACCCCAAUGGAAAUAAGGCACUGACUUUUUUGGGUUAUCAUGGGUAAUUUACACAGGCUGUUAUGUAUGAUAAUUUAUUUAACUGUAUUUAUAUGUACCUGUAUCUUACUAUGCCUCGGCAUAAGAGUGGCUUUCCUUGUACUUGACAAAUUAAAAUUGUAAUUACACAUUGUAAACUUUGCAAAGAAAUAAAAUCUUUAAUCUUUUUAAUCGGGAAGCCGGGUUCGAUACUGCGUAAGCCGUCAGUGGCCCUGAUAAACCCCAACAAACAUCUUUUACAAAUGUUUUGGGAAAUUCAUAAUUGCUUCUGCGCCAGCCUUCGUCGGGUGUGGACAUUUCUCUCUCGUCUGAGUAUCAGUGAUAAACUUCCACCGUUCUCUCUGGGAUGCUUGUCCUCAACUAUUUUGCCCACCAGGCACUCUACAGGAGGGGCACCUAUUCAUCGGCUUACUUUUAGCCAGCUCCAUUUUCCCCUUUGCGGGAAAUUCUUUAACGGUCUUUCCCCUCAGGGACGGUUCCUUGAUGUUGGUGAGGGGCUCUUGAUUUAGGGAAUUGGAUCUGUGCUCCAGUUCCCCGAAUUAAGCCAGAAUGCCUUCCACAUCCCCCCCAGGCGCUGUAUAAUCCUCCGGUUUUAGCGCUUCCCCCUUGAUUAUAAUAAUAAUGUAUAAUCCUCCGGGUUUAGCUCUUCCCCCUUAUUAUAAUAAUAAUGUAUAAUCCUCCGGGUUUAGCUCUUCCCCCUUGAUUAUAAUAAUAAUAAUAAUUUAACGGUAUUUGGUGGGAAGCCGGUUACUGAACUCAGGUGGGGAUGUGGGCGUCCCUCUCUGCUGCGGCUUGGCAAAGGGGUCCACCGGAUCUAAUUGGAAACUUCAAGUUUCUAUCUCUAUUUACAAAGGAACUUUUGUUCCUUUUCUUUCAUCACCCAGCCUUGGGCAACAAUUUUUCCUCGUACCAUCGAGAAGUCGGGCUCGAUACGGCUUAUGCUGUCAGUGGACCUGAUAAACCCAACAAAGUAAGAAGAAUUGACCAGUGUGGGAUUUAUUAGGUCAUGCGUUAAUUAAUAGUUUACCAGUGAGUUUGUAGCGACUCACAAGUGUAAGAUCAGCUGUUAUACAUCACUAGUACUUUCAAAGAGCUUGUAAGGCCGACCUUCUGGAAUGGAUUACGGCUGAUAACUGAGGGUCCACUGUACUGUGAUGAAUAAUUUAUACUAGGAGUAAACAGAUUUGCAACAAACUCGCACUAAAUGAGGAAGAAAUAAAGGGUACCAGUUGAUCAAAUGGCUGCCUUAACACAGGUAAGAAUAUGAGACUUAACAUCAACUUAUCUUUUUUGCAAGUGUCAUGAUUGGAGUAGUACAGUAAUGGAUAAAAAUGUACUAGGAAUAUAUUUAACGAAAAAUCUGGUUGAGAACUGCAUUAAUUUUUUUAACGUGCUGGCCGUCUCCCACCAAGGCAGGGUAGCCCAAAAACAAACUUUCACCAUCAUUCACACUGUCACAUUAUUAUCUUAUAAAUGGUUAUUCAAACACAGUAUUAUAGAAGAAGAAUUCAUUUGCAAAGGUAUGGUACAGCAUCAUUCUACAGUAGAUAUAUAACUGGAAGAGCUACAUGCCAGAGUAGUCAAAUCGCAAAAACUGGCUGGACGGAAUGUUUCUUAGACACGAGUUCUGUACACUUUGGAAUCAUGGAAGUAAUGAUUUUCAUGUAGAAUAAGUUGAAGCUGAUUGAUACCUCGGAUUAGUUAUUAUUCGUAUGCAUUGUAAAUUCAGUAAACUCGGAAAAAGCCUGCUGUUCAAGAAAUCUCAAAUAAGUUUCUGGUCCCCACUUGUAACCUGAAGCAUCGAAGGAUGUGAAUGGAUAUAUUUAAUAUUUGGCAUCCAAUUUAACAUUUCUGCUAUAAUAAUACAUUAAAGUACAUAUGUAAACAAUGUAUAUACAGUAGUGGAUUGUAUAUACAGCACAUAUAUUUAAUGUAUACAGAUUUCAUAGUUAUAAUGAUGAAUUUAAGGCCAGGGAUGAAAUCUGCUAUCCACUGACAGAUGUUUAACUCUGUGUAAAUGCACACAGUUUACUUUUAAUCCUUAUUUUAGGGAUUAAAGUACUUUGAUACACUAUAAGUAUCUAGGUGGAUUGUGGACUCGUAUAGUUGAUAGGCUUUAAAGCUAUCAUACAGUCUGACUGU
Cherax quadricarinatus is the source of this 2817-nucleotide non-coding RNA. The record is from RefSeq and is a predicted model, not a curated record. Lineage: Eukaryota; Metazoa; Arthropoda; Malacostraca; Decapoda; Parastacidae.